This 380-nucleotide ribosomal RNA is filed under the name [Candida] sp. 'davisiana'. RNAcentral describes it as "Candida sp. 'davisiana' partial large subunit ribosomal RNA". It matches the Rfam family "Eukaryotic large subunit ribosomal RNA", at positions 99 to 481 of the family's 3401-position model. Lineage: Eukaryota; Fungi; Ascomycota; Saccharomycetes; Saccharomycetales. The record is from RNAcentral.
CGGUAACAGCUCAAAUUUGAAAUCUGGCCGCAAGGUUGGAGUUGAAAUUUGUAGAGGAUGUUUCGAGCAUGGUCUGGUCUAAGUUCCUUGGAACAGGACGUCAUAGAGGGUGAGAAUCCCGUAUGCGGUCAGGUGCCUACGCUCAUGUGAAACUCCUUCGACGAGUCGAGUUGUUUGGGAAUGCAGCUCAAAAUGGGUGGUAAAUUUCAUCUAAAGCUAAAUAUUGGCCAGAGACCGAUAGCGCACAAGUAGAGUGAUCGAAAGAUGAAAAGCACUUUGGAAAGAGAGUUAAACAGUACGUGAAAUUGUUGAAAGGGAAGCGCUUGCAACCAGACUUGCGCGCGGCUGAUCAUCCGGGCUUCUGCCCGGUGCACUCGGUC